AAACGUAGGAGGCGAGCGUUAUCCGGAUUUACUGGGUGUAAAGCGCGUGCAGGCGGUUCUGCAAGUGGGACGUGAAAGCGCCCGGCUCAACCGGGCGAGGCCGUUCCGAACUGCGGGACUGGAGGCAGGUAGAGGCGUGUGGAAUUCCGGGUGUAGUGGUGAAAUGCGUAGAGAUCCGGAGGAACACCAGUGGCGAAGGCGACACGCUGGGCCUGGCCUGACGCUCAGACGCGAAAGCAUGGGGAGC
This 247-nucleotide ribosomal RNA is filed under the name uncultured bacterium. Its description in RNAcentral is "partial 16S ribosomal RNA". It matches the Rfam family "Bacterial small subunit ribosomal RNA", at positions 523 to 769 of the family's 1533-position model. The record is from RNAcentral.